RNAcentral lists this ribosomal RNA (916 nucleotides) under uncultured marine bacterium. RNAcentral describes it as "bacterial SSU rRNA". It matches the Rfam family "Bacterial small subunit ribosomal RNA", at positions 8 to 916 of the family's 1533-position model. The record is from RNAcentral.
AGAGUUUGAUCCUGGCUCAGAUUGAACGCUGGCGGCAGGCUUAACACAUGCAAGUCGAGCGGAAACGAGAAUAGCUUGCUAUUCGGCGUCGAGCGGCGGACGGGUGAGUAAUGCUUGGGAAUAUGCUUAUGGUGGGGGACAACAGUUGGAAACGACUGCUAAUACCGCAUAAUGUCUACGGACCAAAGCGGGGGACCUUCGGGCCUCGUGCCAUAAGAUUAGCCCAAGUGAGAUUAGCUAGAUGGUGGGGUACAGGCCUACCAUGGCGACGAUCUCUAGCUGGUUUGAGAGGAUGAUCAGCCACACUGGGACUGAGACACGGCCCAGACUCCUACGGGAGGCAGCAGUGGGGAAUAUUGCACAAUGGGCGAAAGCCUGAUGCAGCCAUGCCGCGUGUGUGAAGAAGGCCUUCGGGUUGUAAAGCACUUUCAGUAGGGAGGAAAGGGUGUACGUUAAUACCGUGCAUCUGUGACGUUACCUACAGAAGAAGCACCGGCUAACUCCGUGCCAGCAGCCGCGGUAAUACGGAGGGUGCGAGCGUUAAUCGGAAUUACUGGGCGUAAAGCGUGUGUAGGCGGUUAUUUAAGCGAGAUGUGAAAUCCCGGGGCUCAACCUCGGAACUGCAUUUCGAACUGGAUAACUAGAGUUUUGUAGAGGGUGGUGGAAUUUCCAGUGUAGCGGUGAAAUGCGUAGAGAUUGGAAGGAACAUCAGUGGCGAAGGCGGCCACCUGGACAAAAACUGACGCUGAGACACGAAAGCGUGGGGAGCAAACAGGAUUAGAUACCCUGGUAGUCCACGCCGUAAACGAUGUCAACUAGCCGUCUGUAUCCUAGAGAUGUGGGUGGCGUAGCUAACGCGCUAAGUUGACCGCCUGGGGAGUACGGCCGCAAGGUUAAAACUCAAAGGAAUUGACGG